UCGCCCUCUGGCCUGGUCGGUGCUCCCUCCCUCUCCGGCUCUCCCUCCGCCCCCCAAGCCCAAAUCACCGCGCCCCGCCCACAGCACCGGUUGCGUGGGAGGAAGGAGAAAGGAAGGAGAGGGGAGGCGGCUGUCGGGCGAGAUGAGCGACUCCCAAGCCCAAAUCACCGUCCGCCGCCGCAAGGUAAGUUCCUGCCCAUCCCACCGUGUGUGUUUGCAGAGGAGAUCCUCCGCCGUCUCAUGGCCCUAUUCGGUUCAGACCUAGCUCCCCCCAUCGCCCGUCCGUCCUUCCGCACUUGACUGCUCUCAAACCCUAACCCUCGCCGCCGGUCCUUGUCACCCCGUCGUCGUGCCCAUUGGCAGGCCUCGGCGACCUCCGUCCGCCGCACGUGGUAAGGCCCCCACCCAUCCCAAUGUGUCCCCCCCGGUGAGAGGUGGUUCCGGUCGCCCAGCGCGCGAUCCUUCUCGGGCUGGGUCCCACGUUCUCCUCAGAGGAUGGCAUGAUGAAAGUGGGCUCGUGCUCACGAACCAUACUUGACUCCGGGUUUGUGCAGUGUGCUCUUAGCGGCGUCGGUCAGACCAUCCGCCUCUCUCCUUCCAGCAUCAAGGUAACCUCUCCUUAUUUAGUACGUUUGUAUCAAGAAAACAGUGUUCCAUGUUCCAUCACAAAUGCAAAGAGGGUUCUCACGGAAACAGGAUGCCUCACACCGAUGGAGUUGGCUCUUUGCUACAUAUUAAGCAAAUAGUGUAUUUGUGUUGUUACUGCUUGGACUUUUAAACAUUUGCUCUCUAUAAUAUAUACUGAUUUAGUCAUAUCUUUUAUUUGUAGUAGGUUGCUUUUAUGGCAUCUUGAUCCAUCAAUUAUUAGGCUUGAUCUCUCAGUGAUGCUCAAGGAGUACUUGAUGAUGAGGCCGUCAUGAGGAAACAACUCCACGAGGCGAGAGAACAGCUAGUGAGACAAAGUUUGGAGGAAGGAACUUAGAAUUUGCUAAUCCUGAAGAAAGCUUAUUGUUUUUUCGACUGAACCAACAAUUAUAUUUGGUGCUGAUGUCACUCACCCUGCUGCUCUAGAUGAUACUUCCCCGUCCAUUGCUUCUUUAAGCUCUUUUUCCGUUUACAAUACGGAUAGUACCAUCUUAUUACAAUAACACUUUAUGCCUGGUGGUUCCUUGUAGGUUGUUGCCUCCCAAGACUGGCCCUAGGUGGCUAACUAUAAUGGCAUUAUCCGUGCACAAGGUCACCGUCAAGAGCUCAUCGAUGGGCUGGAAAACAUUGUCAAGUACGAUCAUCAUCACCAUCUCUGAAAUUCAAAUGGCACCCCAUACCCGAUUGAGAGAGUUCCUUAAUUUGCAAAAUAUUUUUAGGGAACUCCUACUUGCAUUCGUGGAACGGUCUAAGCAGAGACCCAAGCAGCUGAUCUUCUACAGGAUAGUAGUAUCUUCCUCCAAACUUUUCUGACUGACAUGCAAUGGUAAUUGACUCCCUCUUUCACCGUUAGGGAUGGCGUAAGUGAGGGCCAAUUCAAACAAGUGCUGGAGCAAGAAAUCCAUGAGAUAGAGAAGGCAUGGACAGCUCUUUACAAUGAGAAGCCAAAGAUCACCUUCGUAGUGGUGCAGAAGAGGCACCACACAAGGCUCUUCCCCAGCAAACCAAAGGAUCGCCAAUACGCGGACAAGAGUGGGAAUAUUCGAGCUGGUUAGGGAUGCAGGCGCAUUUGCUGUUAUUUUUACAAUGCUUUUGAUGAAACGUUUAUGGAAUUUGCAGGCACCGUAGUUGAUAAUAAUAUCUGCCACCCAACAGAAUUUGAUUUCUUCCUGUGCGGCCAUGCUGGGGCCAAGGGAACAAGCCGUCCUACGCAUUACCAUGUGCUACGAGAUGACAACAAGUUCACCGCAGAUGCUCUGUAGUCUCUAACAUAUAACUUGUGCUACAUGUAAGCAUGCCCUUCCCUUCCUUAUGUUACUACGGUAGGUGUCCACACCCACAUGGUUCUGCCGCGCCUCCGCAUCCGCCCACAUUCGCCCGUGGUCGCACCCCGCCCCGCAUCUCGCCGGCAGCCCCGCCGCCCUCCCGCGCUCCAUCCCUCCAUCCAUCCACCGACAGCCCCGCAUCCUCGCCUCGCUCACCUCCUCCGCCGGUCUGACCACUACACUCGGCCCAUCAUGUUGAAGCUCGCGCUCGCGGAACAAGAAGGGGAGCACUAGAUGGUUAUCAUGUGCGCUAGGGUCCUCGUCGCUGCGCCCCCAGCCGUCGUAUCUUGAGAGGGAGCGGGCCGGCGCCGGCUGGCCACUAGAGGCCUCUUUUUGCUUCACCUCACCUGCCACCUCCUGGCCUAGCCUUUCUUCCUUCAUUCCCUUGGCUUGCCUGGUGUAUCUACUACCUCUAUUUCUUCUUCUAUUCCUCAUCGUCGCUUCCCUCCUCUGUUGGGCGUCUUCCUGCUCCCUUCAGCCCUCGCCUCCCAAAAACAGACAAGACCUGACAGCAGGUCCUAAAGGCUGUCACAAACCUUUAUGAGGCUCUGGACAACUGUGAUGGUAUUCUAAGCAGGUAGCGCUUUUUAUGCAGCAAUCAAUUUACAGAGCAGAUGCUCUCUUGUUGACAACUCUCAUAAGAGUCGAUAAGUUUGUAGGUGUAACCCAAUGUAUCUUCAGCAGUUCUAAAGGACUGAACAUGUUACUAGAAAGAGGUGAAUGAAAGGACUACAGAGAGUUGUGAAAGAGGAAGCGGUGCGGGCUGGUGGAGUACCAGACGCUGCCGGCUUACCUGCGGGACAACGAGUACAUCCACCGCCACUACCGCUGCGAGUGGCCGCUCCUACAGCGUGAUCCGGCCCGAGGAGAUUCCGAAGGUCUUGGAAAUCAGCGGCGAGCGCAGCCUCAUCGACAAUUUUUUCUCCUACCACGUGUAAUAAUCACGGUACACAAGUUUUCCUCGAAUUUAUAUUCUAUGCUUUGUUUUUUGGUUUAUUUUUCUUUUUGUUUCAUACUUCCUGCAAAAUAAAGCUAUAUAUACUUCAUAUUAAAAACAUUCCUAUGUAUAUGUAAUUCAUGCCUAAGUUCAUGUUCCUUUUAACUUUUUCACCAUGGUUUUUAUGCCUCCAUGGAAUGUCUAAUAGGAUUUCCAGCAUAUUUUUCGUACCUACAAAUUUCACACCAGGAAUUGAAAAUAUUGAUGAAUAAUCUAGCAUAGGAUCUGCACCUCUGGAUAAGUAUAUUUCUGCCACUUAUGUUUCUAGCAUGUCACUUGGCUGGUAUGAGGCUAAAAAGAGAUUUGUUAGCUCCUGUGAAUCUGGGCACUGCUUCACCAUUUUGUGACUUUGAUAUGCUUAUUAUGUUUAGUGAACUCAAUUUUCUAUGUUCCAACCACUGCUCUUAAUUUUUAUACUUGCAGUCUGUAGAUCUUGUUUUCUGUUGAUUCACUUGUAAUUAAACUGUUUGGAUCACUAGAUUGGUAGGAUAAAACUGGAAGAAUUGAGAAUGGCAUGUCGUUGGGCCUCAUUUUUGCACAAGAUUCGACUGUUCAUUUGGUUUGAAUGUUUGUAUUAUAUAUUAAUACAUUAUUGAUUCAAACCUAAAAUGCAUUGUUAUGUUUAUGCUUUAUAUUUUUAUUAUGAAGUUGUGAUUUAUUUCAGUUGCAUUGUUUUGAUUUAUUCAUGAUUAAGAAAUCAUAUUUCAUGUUAUAAACCUCAAAUCUAUGAUUUUUUGGGUUUAUUUUUCUUUGUUGUUUCAUACUUCCUUCAAAUGUGGAGAUUACAUGGCUUUUUUGAUGUUUUGAUUUAUUUCACACAUAUCUCUACUACUCUAUAUGACCCUAUUGUGGGUGUUCACAUGCUUCACCGUUGCCCCCGCCACACUGCCGUCCACACUGUCCUCUGCUUGACCAUGCCCCCGCCAUCACCGCCCUUCCCCACCAUCCUCGCCCUUCCCCAGAUCGCGGCGCCUUCCAUCGUCGCCAUCCACUGCAACCCUCGUUCCCCAAAUCACAGCACCUUCCAUCGUCGCCAGCGCGGGGCCCCGACAUUGACGACAGCGUGUGGCCCUGACAUCGCCCCAAAUCGCUCGCCCAUCACCGAGGAUGGCGGUCCUUCUCACCUCCCUGUUAUCCCCGCCCCAAAUCGACGCUAACCUCCCAUCAACGAGAAUCAUGCAGCCCAAAUCCUCGCCCCAAAUCGACGCCAACUCCCAUCGACGCCAAGGAUGGUGGUCCGUAAAUACCAUGCCACCCCAAGACACAGAUUUGGGGCCACCCCAAUCCCCAUCCUCAAUUGUGCUCUCUAAGGAAUACUGAUGCUUUAGCGUCAACUUUGGCUCUCCAAUACUUUACAAGGUAUAUACAAUUUAUUAUGGGUUAUGGGUUACGGGGGCUUUGAGUCUUUGAUCUGACGAUAUAUUACGGGAGCUUCGAGUCCUCAAUCUGGUAGUUGUGGGAUAUGCUUGUAGCCAGUCGUUCUGAUGAUUCCAAUAGGCUCUUUCUUAGGGUUGGAUCUCCUCAUGGUUUUCUUUUAAUUAAAUAAGUCUGGUGCAGACACUAAUUUCUAUGAAUAUAACCUAUCCAUCAUUGUUUCACUUCAAGUCUGGCACUGCCAUGUCUCUGUAUGCUUGAUAGUCUGUCUAAACCUUGGAGUAGCAGAUUGCCAUGGGUUGUUGUAUCGAUGAUGCUUAAGUACGGGUAAGCUAGAUAGGGAUGCAAGUAGCAGAUUAUGCUAGAUUCUUGCACAAGGAAAAUUAUGUAGUAUCGUGGGGGUAACAAGUAGGUUCCUUUUUUGAAGGUACACGUGAUCAUGCCUAUACUAUGCUAGAUGCUCGAUCAGUUCAAAAACAUUUGUGUGGGGGAGCUGUCUUUAUUCUUGUUUAUUUAUCAGUUCAAACAGAUUGUCAUGAACAUGCUUGAUUGCCUUCAUUUGACAGAGAAACCAAUAGUAUAUAAAAUCAUGGGCAGAGGUCCCCGAACCAUGGUGUACUAUAGUGGGCCUUUGUACUCUGUAUCUAAUCAUCUAACCUUAGAUGCAGGCAUUAGUUUAUGCGUUGAUACCGUCAUACGCCGUUGUUUCAUGACAAUGCCCAUCAAGCAGACAAAGAGUGACGACGACACUAGCUCACAUAUGAAGUGCAAAGGGUUUUCUUCCUUCUUGCAUGUUGGUGUAAAGAGUAGGUAAACCUGCUUGCGCGAUGGUACAAGCAGCAUCAACAGAGGUAUAGGGAAAUUUUUGAACUGUAACAAGUUGCGGACCCUUGACUUCAAUAAUUGUGAUGUUCAAACCUUCCCUGUCAUCAUGGAUUUCCUGAAACUCUUUUCUUCAACUUUGGAACUCCUUUGUUUAUAAAAUCUACAGACUCUGGAACUGUUGUGGUAUAAUGGGCAGACAAUGGAAAUGUUGUUCACCUUCAAUUCUCAGAGGACCUACCACUAUUGUAUUGUCAAUUGUUUUGCUGUUUGGAGACCACAAGGCUUGACUCAGUAAACACCACUAUUUGACCGAGGUGAAUCUAGGUGACCACAAUCUAUGCUCUUCUAUUAUGUUCUUUAUUUUAACUGAACAAUGUAAAAAAUUAUUGAAUGAUUGUUGAGGUGUUGAUUGUUAUAUGUUUAAAGCAUUACAUAUGUUGAUUAUGUUAGUGAGUGUGCUAUCUAUUGAAUGAUGAUGUGAAGCAAUGGACCUGGAGACAUGUUCUUUUAAGCCUUGAGCGUGUAUGCGUUCGUGUACUUUCUGUUAAUGAAAUUCUUUCCAAUAUACCAUGUUAUUUUUCUUGUAAAUAAUCUAUUUACUAUUUUUCAUACAACUGCUAAGUGAAAUAGCUUUUGCCAUAACUUUUUUAAAAUUCUUCGAAGAGGCCGCCACUAAAUGGCUCCACGAAUAAAUGGGUGUGAAGUCUUGGAUGCUUGGUUUGCUCACAGGGAUCAGGCUGUGGAGUACGGAGUUCACAAGAUCUAGGAGAUCAACAACCUCGAGGAUGGGAGGAUAUAGAAGGAGAAAAUGUCUUCAGCCAGCAAUAGGGUGAGAACAGACUUGCCGAACAUGAAGGAAGGGUUGCAGCUGGAGCCUGACAAUAGCGGUGUUCUAAGUUGUGGAUACUGGACACUGCUGUUGGAAUACUAGAGCGACAUGAUGUUGUAAGGGAUCUAGAGAGGAAGCUUCUGGAGUUGCAAUAGGUGAUGCCUUCUUAUUUACUCCUUUUUUGGCACAAGGUCUUCUCUGUAUCAUAUAGUAUGUUACAAAAGCUAUGGCCAUUCAAUGAACAUAGUUCCUCUCAAUAUGCAACUUCAAGUGCAGCGCUACAAGAUUCUACUUCAUAGAGCUGUAUACAUGAAAACAAACAACUCCAGAACAUGUCUUCUCUCCCAAGCUUCAUGGUAGAUACCCAUGUACAAUUCUAAUUGCAGUGACAUGUUACAAAUUUC
Zea mays is the source of this 6399-nucleotide long non-coding RNA. RefSeq lists it as uncharacterized. The record is from RefSeq and is a predicted model, not a curated record. The transcript is spliced from 11 exons. NCBI's taxonomy places the organism in Eukaryota, Viridiplantae, Streptophyta, Magnoliopsida, Poales, Poaceae.